UACGGAGGAUCCGAGCGUUAUCCGGAUUUACUGGGUGUAAAGGGAGCGUAGACGGGACAGCAAGUCUGAUGUGAAAGGCGGGGGCUCAACCCCUGGACUGCAUUGGAAACUGUUGACCUGGAGUGCCGGAGAGGUAAGCGGAAUUCCUAGUGUAGCGGUGAAAUGCGUAGAUAUUAGGAGGAACACCAGUGGCGAAGGCGGCUUACUGGACGGUAACUGACGUUGAGGCUCGAAAGCGUGGGGAGCAAACAGG
RNAcentral lists this ribosomal RNA (253 nucleotides) under uncultured bacterium. RNAcentral's name for it is "partial 16S ribosomal RNA". It matches the Rfam family "Bacterial small subunit ribosomal RNA", at positions 524 to 776 of the family's 1533-position model. The record is from RNAcentral.